ACCAGGUGCAGUGGCACACACCUGUAAUCCCAGCAGCUUGGGAGGCUGAGGCAGGAGGAUCAUGAGUUCAAAGCCAGCCUCAGCAACUGAGGCCUUAAGCAACUUAGCAAGAUCCUGUCUCAA
Molecule: small RNA, 123 nt
Filed under: Marmota monax (woodchuck)
Lineage: Eukaryota; Metazoa; Chordata; Mammalia; Rodentia; Sciuridae
Source: RNAcentral